GAUGAACGCUGGCGGCGUGCCUAAUACAUGCAAGUCGAGCGAACGGACGAGAAGCUUGCUUCUCUGAUGUUAGCGGCGGACGGGUGAGUAACACGUGGAUAACCUACCUAUAAGACUGGGAUAACUUCGGGAAACCGGAGCUAAUACCGGAUAAUAUUUUGAACCGCAUGGUUCAAAAGUGAAAGACGGUCUUGCUGUCACUUAUAGAUGGAUCCGCGCUGCAUUAGCUAGUUGGUAAGGUAACGGCUUACCAAGGCAACGAUGCAUAGCCGACCUGAGAGGGUGAUCGGCCACACUGGAACUGAGACACGGUCCAGACUCCUACGGGAGGCAGCAGUAGGGAAUAUUCCGCAAUGGGCGAAAGACUGACGGAGCAACGCCGCGUGAGUGAUGAAGGUCUUCGGAUCGUAAAACUCUGUUAUUAGGGAAGAACAUAUGUGUAAGUAACUGUGCACAUCUUGACGGUACCUAAUCAGAAAGCCACGGCUAACUACGUG
This 497-nucleotide ribosomal RNA is filed under the name uncultured bacterium. RNAcentral's name for it is "partial 16S ribosomal RNA". It matches the Rfam family "Bacterial small subunit ribosomal RNA", at positions 28 to 507 of the family's 1533-position model. The record is from RNAcentral.